CAAUAGCGUAUAUUAAAGUUGUUGCAGUUAAAAAGCUCGUAGUUGGAUUUCUGCUGAGGACGAUCGGUCCGCCCACUGGGUGAGUAUCUGGCUCGGCCUUGGCAUCUUCUUGGAGAACGUUGCUGCACUUGACUGUGUGGCGCGGUAUCCAGGACUUUUACUUUGAGGAAAUUAGAGUGUUUCAAGCAGGCGCACGCCUUGAAUACAUUAGCAUGGAAUAAUGAGAUAGGACCUUGGUUCUAUUUUGUUGGUUUCUAGAGCUGAGGUAAUGAUUAAUAGGGAUAGUUGGGGGCAUUCGUAUUUAACUGUCAGAGGUGAAAUUCUUGGGUUUGUUAAAGACGGACUACUGCGAAAGCAUUUGCCAAGGAUGUUUUCAUUGA
RNAcentral lists this ribosomal RNA (380 nucleotides) under uncultured eukaryote. RNAcentral's name for it is "partial 18S ribosomal RNA". It matches the Rfam family "Eukaryotic small subunit ribosomal RNA", at positions 592 to 976 of the family's 1831-position model. The record is from RNAcentral.